GAUGAACGCUAGCGACAGGCCUAACACAUGCAAGUCGAACGGGAUUGGGAGCUUGCUCCCAUGAGAGUGGCGCACGGGUGAGUAACGCGUAUGCAACCUACCUGUAACUGGGGGAUAGCUCCCUGAAAGGGGAAUUAACACCGCAUAAGACCACGCCAUCACCUGAUGGAGGGGUAAAAUAUUUAUAGGUUACAGAUGGGCAUGCGUGACAUUAGUUUGUUGGUGAGGUAACGGCUCACCAAGACUACGAUGUCUAGGGGUUCUGAGAGGAAGGUCCCCCACACUGGUACUGAGACACGGACCAGACUCCUACGGGAGGCAGCAGUGAGGAAUAUUGGUCAAUGGACGCAAGUCUGAACCAGCCAUGUCGCGUGCAGGACGACGGCCCUAUGGGUUGUAAACUGCUUUUGUACGGGAAGAAAAAUGACCACGUGUGGUCACUUGCCGGUACCGUACGAAUAAGGAUCGGCUAACUCCGUG
This 480-nucleotide ribosomal RNA is filed under the name uncultured organism. RNAcentral describes it as "bacterial SSU rRNA". It matches the Rfam family "Bacterial small subunit ribosomal RNA", at positions 28 to 507 of the family's 1533-position model. The record is from RNAcentral.